AUCACCUGGGGAUCUUGUUAAAAUGCAGAUUUUGAUUCAGUAUGUUUGGGGUGGGCCAGAGUGCUACAUUUUAACAAGCUCCCAUGUGUUGCUAA
RNAcentral lists this microRNA precursor (95 nucleotides) under Nomascus leucogenys (northern white-cheeked gibbon). Its description in RNAcentral is "mir-544 microRNA precursor family". It matches the Rfam family "mir-544 microRNA precursor family". The record is from Rfam by way of RNAcentral. Lineage: Eukaryota; Metazoa; Chordata; Mammalia; Primates; Hylobatidae.